Molecule: ribosomal RNA, 749 nt
Filed under: uncultured cyanobacterium
Lineage: Bacteria; Bacillati; Cyanobacteriota
Description: bacterial SSU rRNA
Rfam family: Bacterial small subunit ribosomal RNA
Source: RNAcentral
AGAGUUUGAUCAUGGCUCAGGAUGAACGCUGGCGGUAUGCUUAACACAUGCAAGUCGAACGCAGUCCUUCGGGGCUGAGUGGCGGACGGGUGAGUAACGCGUGAGAAUCUGCCUAAAGGACUGGGACAACAGCUGGAAACGGCUGCUAAUACCAGAUAUGCCAGAAAGUGAAAAGGGGUAACCCGCCUUUUGAUGAGCUCGCGUCUGAUUAGCUAGUUGGUAGGGUAAAGGCCUACCAAGGCACCGAUCAGUAACUGGUCUGAGAGGAUGGCCAGUCACACUGGGACUGAGACACGGCCCAGACUCCUACGGGAGGCAGCAGUGGGGAAUUUUCCGCAAUGGGCGAAAGCCUGACGGAGCAAUACCGCGUGGGGGAGGAAGGCUCUUGGGUCGUAAACCUCUUUUCUCAGGGAAGAACAAAAUGACGGUACCUGAGGAAUCAGCAUCGGCUAACUCCGUGCCAGCAGCCGCGGUAAUACGGAGGAUGCAAGCGUUAUCCGGAAUGAUUGGGCGUAAAGCGUCCGCAGGUGGCAGUGUAAGUCUGCUGUCAAAGGUCAGGGCUCAACCCUGAACAGGCAGUGGAAACUACACAGCUAGAGUGCGGUGGGGGCAGAGGGAAUUCCCAGUGUAGCGNUGAAAUGCGUAGAGAUUGGGAAGAACACCGGUGGCGAAAGCGCUCUGCUAGGCCGCAACUGACACUCAUGGACGAAAGCUAGGGGAGCGAAUGGGAUUAGAUACCCCCGUAGUCC